Rhinopithecus bieti (black snub-nosed monkey) is the source of this 119-nucleotide ribosomal RNA. Lineage: Eukaryota; Metazoa; Chordata; Mammalia; Primates; Cercopithecidae. The record is from Ensembl.
AUCUACGGCCAUAUAACCCUGAACCCGCCUGAUCUUGUCUGAUCUCGGAAGCUAACCAUGGUCGGGUCUGGUUAGUACUUGGAAUGGAGAUCCCUUAGGAAUUCCGGGUGCUACAGGCU